GUGUUUGAAGGUUUGCUUGUGAAGGGUGGUGGAUAUUAAAGCUAUGCGGUAUCAUUGGUUGGCCGAUCAUGUUCUUGUUUGAUUGUUGGUCGACCGGCUCAUGAUACUUGUAUAGUCUAAGUAUCUAACACUACAUGAGUACUGAACUCAGGCGUAUAUAUGGUUAACUAGGGAAUUGGUUGUUGACUUGUUUUAAUGCAGGUUCCCGUUACUU
RNAcentral lists this long non-coding RNA (214 nucleotides) under Brassica napus (rape). RNAcentral's name for it is "long non-coding RNA (BNAP_LNC014138)". The record is from RNAcentral. Lineage: Eukaryota; Viridiplantae; Streptophyta; Magnoliopsida; Brassicales; Brassicaceae.